RNAcentral lists this ribosomal RNA (517 nucleotides) under uncultured bacterium. RNAcentral describes it as "bacterial SSU rRNA". It matches the Rfam family "Bacterial small subunit ribosomal RNA", at positions 9 to 518 of the family's 1533-position model. The record is from RNAcentral.
GAGUUUGAUCAUGGCUCAGGAUGAACGCUAGCUACAGGCUUAACACAUGCAAGUCGAGGGGCAGCAUUGGGGUAGCAAUACUUCAGAUGGCGACCGGCGCACGGGUGAGUAACACGUAUCCAACCUGCCGCUUACUCGGGGAUAGCCUUUCGAAAGAAAGGUUAAUACCCGAUGGUAUAAAGAGUUCGCAUGUUCUCUUUAUUAAAGAAUUUCGGUAAGCGAUGGGGAUGCGUUCCAUUAGAUAGUUGGCGGGGUAACGGCCCACCAAGUCUACGAUGGAUAGGGGUUCUGAGAGGAAGGUCCCCCACAUUGGAACUGAGACACGGUCCAAACUCCUACGGGAGGCAGCAGUGAGGAAUAUUGGUCAAUGGACGAGAGUCUGAACCAGCCAAGUAGCGUGAAGGAUGACUGCCCUAUGGGUUGUAAACUUCUUUUAUAAGGGAAUAAAGUGAGGGACGUGUCCCUUUUUGUAUGUACCUUAUGAAUAAGGAUCGGCUAACUCCGUGCCAGCAGCAGC